UACGAGUGCCUCAAGCGUUAUCCGGAAUCAUUGGGCGUAAAGGUUGUGUAGGUGGUUGUAUUAGUCUUCUGUUAAAUUCUUCGGCUUAACCGGGGGCAUGCAGGGGAAACGGUACGACUAGAGGAUGCGAGGGGUCUGUGGAAUUCAUAGUGUAGCGGUAAAAUGCGUUGAUAUUAUGGAGAACACCAAAAGCGAAGGCAGCAGACUGGAGCACUCCUGACACUGAAACAAGAAAGCGUGGGUCGCGAAUGGG
This 253-nucleotide ribosomal RNA is filed under the name uncultured bacterium. RNAcentral's name for it is "partial 16S ribosomal RNA". It matches the Rfam family "Bacterial small subunit ribosomal RNA", at positions 524 to 776 of the family's 1533-position model. The record is from RNAcentral.